UUUUUAAUUUUUUUAUUUUCUUCAUCUACAGUGACACCUUGUCAUUUUUGUUUCUGAUUUAGUAUUUGUAGAUUCUGUGCUAUAUAGAGAAGGCAAGAAUGGAAAUCCCUUUAACUUUCAGCCUUAGUGAAGGUUAAACAUUUGGCUACUCACAAAUUUGUGAGUUUCAAAUCUGUUGAAUCUCAAAACUUGGUUAAUUCAGCAGCUCAUAAACGGUAGAGUUGCAGCGGAAUUGAAACCAAAUUUCCGGUUUGGUUCCAUUUCCCACACCUAAGCAAUGUUCUCCAUGGGGCCCAGUCCUCUGGUAAUGUCACUUCCCCUUACUGAUGGGAUGGGGAAGUAAAGUAGGAUGGGUAAGAGGACUGGUGCCCAAUUAUGCAGAUAAUUCACAUUAAUUAGAACUUCCAGGCUGACUAAUGAUGUUGCUGAAGGUGGAGUUACAUCUCCGGCAGCAGGAUGCUAUAUUUCUCUAUGUGAAACGCUGCAUGUAAAGACUCCAAGCAAAAUGACCACUUAAUCACACUCAAGUGAUAAUGCUGCUUGAAGUAAGCCUAUUAGCGUGCAAGUUUAAUUUUGUAACUUGAGUAGGUAAAGUGGCUAAUAAAAAUAUACUUGUUUGAAUGCCUUGCUCAGAUCAGCGGACAUCCAGUCAUAUUGUUUACAUGAAAGUGUUUUGUGCAAUGUUUGGUUUUCUCUUAUUUGGAAAGUUAUGAAAUAGUUUUUACCGUUAAGACUACGCAUCUAGAAGCCUUGGACGUCUCUUCAAAUUCCCAAGUGUUAUGUGCUGUUGCACAAUGGAUGAACGUUUGGAGAUAUGUCUUGCCAAAUUAGUUCAGAUUCUACAAUACAAAUGUAGUCAAAUGUUUGAUACCCAUAUACUACUGUCAGUAACGAGAGAUUGCUUGUUAAUCCUUUUUAAGGCAGUAAUGUGUAUACCCAUGUGUUUUGUUUUUAAAUGUCAGUGAAAAUCAAAGGAGUGUUUCUUUAAUUUUCACAAUUUUUUAUUUUAUUUUAAUGGAUCACCAUAGGCACCCAGACCUCUUCCGCUCAAUGAAGUGGUCUGGGUGCCAGGUCCCCCUAGUUUUAACUAUGCAGCUGUAAACAUAGCAGUUUCUGCUGUGUUGACAUUGAGGGUUAAUUCAGCCUCUAGUGGCUGUUUCCCUGGCAGCCAGGGAGGCCGCUUCCACGGUUCUCAGUGUGAAAAUCACACUGAGAUGAUGCUGGACGUCAAUAGGAAAGCAUUGAGUAAUGCUUUCCUGUAGCUGUUUGAAUGCGCGGGCGACUCUUGCUGCGCCUUCAGGGCGGACAUCUGCAUGAGGAAGAGAGGUCACCAGUGCCGGAUUAAGGAAAGUGGCUGAAGAGGUUUUAACCCCUUCAGCCCAGUGGGGGAGGGAGGGGGGCUAAUAACCCUAUAGUUGUUUUCCUGGCACUGUAGUGCUCCUUUAACUAUUUUGUAGAUAUAUCAACAACAAAAAGUGUACACGUACAUGAUUUUUCUUGGCAAGGGUAAAUGUGGAAACCGCAUGCAAAGAAUGCAGACCUUUCUUUCCCCAGCACAGACUUUGUCUGUUCAAGUUAGCUGACCAAUCAGAAGCCUCUGUGCUGCUGCGCACAUGCACUCAAUCCUAGCUUUACAAUGCUUGUCAGUGAGCUGUAGGCAGUGCAUCUGCCACUUCCGUUCGCUCUGUGGUGGGAACAGAAGUGGAUGAAAACCUUCCUGGCUGUCUGAGUUGCAGAUGGAGAUGGGUUUCUGCCACAACCUACAAAAGUGCUAGUUUCUAUUAAAAUUGGUAGUUUUUAUAACCUUUUGACCUUCCCACUUGCAGCGUAUUUGUUCUGUUAAAAGUGAAAACACAAUUUUGUCUAGUCAACAGUAGGUGAAAUUAUCGGAUAUUAAAAACUAGACUUAUUCAACAUGCUAUACUAGAAACUUUAAAUGAGCAUUCUAACCAAUGCAGCACACUGUAGUCAGUGUGGUGCUAUGGUUACCCUGGUUCCCUCUCCAGAUAAGAAGUCACUGAGAGCAGUCAUUUUAACUUUCAGUAAAUGAGCCAACCUUGCACAGCAGGACUUGGCUUUUAAUGUUGCUAACGAUAGGUCUUUGCAGGAGCUUCCAGCUACACAUGUGUUUAUGCCUGACAAACCCUACAUAAGUUGUAAGAACAUGUGCAAAUGGUUUGUUUACUUAAUCGGGGAGUGAGCCCGGGCCCUCCUGGCACCAUAAGCACUACAGAGCACUGUAGGUUCAUUGGUGCUUUGUGUUCCUUUCAAAGAGACUUUGAUAAGUGACCCUAAUGUGAAAUUGCCCUCCCAUUGAACUUACAAACACAAACUUUGUAUAUAUGCAAUGUUAUAUAUGUCCUGCUGGUUUAGGGGGAUAAAACCUUCAACUGUAUAAGAGACUCUUGAUUGGUGUGAAUUUGCAAUGGGUGUUACAAUUGUUGGAAUGCUAAAUGUAAAUAUUCUCCCCCCCCCCCCAAUUUUUCACUGCAAGAAAAAUUGGGGUUACUUGCUUUAUAUUGUCUUUGUGACCUUAUGGACACAACUUUCUCCUUUAACUUUAGUUGGCAGUUGCAUAGUAGCCAGUCAUAAAUAAUGUUUUAAAUGUUUUCUUAAUAUUCAAUGUUUAUUUGGAAAUCUCUGGCUUUUGUGCCAAGAUGGAUGUUGGCUGGAAUUCUGAGCAAGCAGUAGUAUUUAAGCAAUGCGUGGACUUGCACGGUUUUUAAUAGCCCGGUGAGCUGCCAAACAGGCUAAAGUGAAAGUCGUAAUGAUGAAGAGACAGUUAUAUUGCAGAAGGAUGACAUGGAGAUCCUGAACCUUUUUUCUACUGCCCAGUUUACUCUUGUGAAAUAGUCCUACUUUGAAUUCACACUGUAACCUGUACAAUUUAUCAUUGUCAAGUUACAAUAAUAUCCAGUUGGCGUGCAUCACAAUGUCAGAGUAUGUCUGAACUGGCUUAUUCAUCACUGCAUUGAGUUAUGUAAUCAUUGUUGAAGCUGUGCUUAACGAAGUAAUCUAAGUACCAUCAACACUACAGCGCAUUUUGGUGGUUAUGGGGUUAUUGGGGUGCAGGCUGUGCUUCUCAUUACUUUUUUUUUUUUUUUUUAAUAAAACAAGUGGAUAGCCGUAGCAUUCAUUGCCCCACUCCUCUGCAAAUACACUGGUAAAGUUAAAUUUUUGUAUGGUCUGUUUUUUUGAUGGGAAUGCUGGCAUAACUCGCAUUCUGUUUGUUAUACAAGGUCAUACUUGAGCUUGCAUAUAUGUGUAAUUUUGCUGUAGAGGGGUUGGCUAUGGGUUCAUGGCCAAUGCAAUGAGCUGUAGUGUUUAUGGUGCUUCAGUGCACCUUUAAAAUCAUGUUUGUUUUUUCCAUAAAAUAGAUCUAUACUAAAUAUAUAACAAUUAGGCAAUUUUCUAUCAUUUGCAGUUUAUAUUUGUAUAGAAUAAACACUGUUUAAGAUUGGCAAAUAAAUUUUGAAAGCUUUUAAAUGA
Molecule: non-coding RNA, 3489 nt
Organism: Pelobates cultripes (western spadefoot toad)
Lineage: Eukaryota; Metazoa; Chordata; Amphibia; Anura; Pelobatidae
Source: the annotation of a GenBank genome assembly